RNAcentral lists this long non-coding RNA (4982 nucleotides) under Capsicum annuum. Its description in RNAcentral is "long non-coding RNA (CANN_LNC006187)". The record is from RNAcentral. Lineage: Eukaryota; Viridiplantae; Streptophyta; Magnoliopsida; Solanales; Solanaceae.
GGGAUUUCACUCUUCACUUGGAUCCUACUGGAUACCCACAGAUCCUCCUCAAACGUGGCACAAGUGUAUCAACUCGCUCAGGACCAUGGAAUGGUUUAUAUUGGAACUGGGGACCCCACUGUUAGCAUGAUAUAAAUAUUGUAUAUAUUAAUGUAUCCAUAUAUUGUUGUAUAUUAGUGUAAUUACAUAGAUUUGAUUUAGUAAUUAAAGAGAAUAAUAGUGGCUUUAGUAGAGCAGAUUUAGUGAGAUAGAAUACCGAAUUUAGAGGGAUAGAAAAGCUGAUCUUUAGAGAUAGGAAGAUGGAUUUUUAGGGAUGUAAUCAUUGAAUAUUUUCUAUUUAAUGGAAAGACUCUCAAUAUUGAGAGGCAUUCAACAAAAAAUUGACAUGGUAUCAGAGCCUUCUCUUGGCUGUAUUGUUUCAUAGAGUUCAUUUGUGGUUCCUUUCAGCCUUUUUGAAAAAUUUCAAUUUUUGUUGAUUGUUCCUCGACAAUUAACACCUUGGACUUUGAUCUUGUUCGUUUUGGUUAUUCUUUUUGAGUCAGUGUUUCUAGUUUUCAUAACUAUGACUUCAUAUCAGUUUGAAUCAUUCAGUGUUCGUUUCACUGGAAAGAAUUUUUUGUUAUGAGAGUUUUAGUUUUAGUUAUUGGUCACUGGAAAAGAACUAUGGGCUAUACAGAUGGAGCCGAUCCUGCUCCUACUGAUCCUACAAAGUUAGGUGAAUGAAAGAUUAAAGAUGCUCGGGUGAUGACAUAGAUUUUAGGGUCAAUUGACCCUCUUAUUGUUCUUAAUCUCAGGCCUUACAAGACAGCUAAAGCCAUGUGGAAUUAUUUACAAAGGGUUUACAAACAAGAUAAUAGUGCUCGGCGAUUUCACUUAGAGUAUGGAAUUGCUAAUUACUCUCAAGGAGGUCUUUCUGUUCGGGAUUAUUUUUUUGGAUUUCAAAACUUAUGGGCUGAAUUUACUAAUAUUGUUUAUGCUAAAAUACAAACCGAAUGUCUCUUUGUAAUUCAACAAGUUCAUGAGCAAAGCAAACGAGAUCAAUUUUUGAUGAUGUUACGCUUUGAGUUUGAGAGUGUUCGCUCCCACUUAAUGAAUCGUGACCCGUCUCCAUCUUUGGAUGUUUUUUUUAGGGAAUUACUUUGUGAAGAGCAGCGUUUUAUCAGACAAAAUGCUUUUAAGAAAGCUGAUGAUAUUGUUGUUGCAUUUGCUGCCCAAGGUAAAGGAAAGGGUAAGGACAUGACUAGAACUUAAUGCUACAGUUGCAAAGGAUAUGGUCAUAUUGCUAGCAAUUGUGGCAUGAAGUUUUCUAAUUAUUGCAAACAACAAGGACACAUUAUCAUAGUAUGUCUCACACACCUUCAAAACCGUAAGGUUAAUGCUUUUCAAGCGGGGAAAAAUGGUUUUACUACUGAGAACUCAUUUUCAAGACAAGUUCUUACUCCUGAAAUGGUAAGACAAAUGAUCAUGUCAGCCUUUUCAGCUUUAGGGCUACAAGGUAAUGAUCUUGCAUCUAAUUUUUGGCUUGUUGAUUCUGGAGCUUCCAAUCAUAUGGCCAACUUAUCUAGUAUGCUAAAAAAUGUUCGUAAGUAUUAUGAUCCAUCACAAAUUCAAGUUGCCAAUAGUAGUAAUUUACCCAUUACCAAGGUUGGGGAUAUUACUAAAACUUUCAACAAUGUCUUUGUGUCACCAUUAGUCUUAUUUCAGUUGUACAAUUGGUAGAUAACAAUUGUGAUGUGAAUUUUUCUUGUAAUGGUUGUCUUGUGUAGGAUUAGGUGUCGGGGAUGAUAAUUGCGAAGGGGACUAAAGUUGGACAACUAUUUUCUAUACGCUUAUUCAUUCCUUGUGUUCUAUCAUUUUGUAAGACCCCGCAAAAUCCUAAGUCUAAUUCAGCCCCUCAAACCUUGAAAAGGGAUCCAACAUUUAGAUAAUUUUAGCUAAGUGUUAAGGACUUAGUUUCUUUUAAGCCUUCAAACUUCGGGGAUUUAUUUCACGACCUUCCUAACCUUCAUUUUCUUGAUUUUCAAGUUGAUUCACGAUGGGGAAAGUCAAUAGUACAUCUUGGGUGCAUUUUAGGGGCAUAACACACUAGUUUGAAAUGUCUUUGAAAUGCUCCAUUAUUCCGGGCGCAUCUUGGGUGCAUUUCAGGGGCAUAACAUACUGGUUUGAAAUACUCCAGCAUUCCGGGUGCAUUUCAGGCCCCAAUUUCAGGGUCAACUUUCAAUGAUCAUAACUUCCUGUAUAUAAUGAACUGAGAUAGCUGAUAUAUAUCAAAUGAAAGAUCUUUGAUUCUUCUUUCCAAUGCAACUAAUUUCAUCCAAAUCCAACAACGGAGUAAAAAGUUAUGCCCAAUUUACUUUAGCCUGUCAACCUAUCAAUAGAGGGACUGCUGCGACUUUUUUUUAUUUCCUUAGGGGUAUUUUAGUCUUUCCCCCCAUCAUUAUUCAACCAUAAACACAAGAUUAAACUCCCAUUUCAGUAAAAUAUACUCUUUUAUCUCAAGUUCUCUCAAGAACAAGAAGAGGGGUUUCCAAAUCAAGAUCUAAAUCUCAAGAAUUUUUCCAUCAAUCUUCCCAAAUGAAGCAUCAAGGUAUGUUAAGUGUUCAUCCUUGAGUAUCCUUUCACCCUUGGAGUUCAAGAAUAUCUUUCAAAACUACAAGUUAGUUGAUGUUAUAAAUCUCAUGUUGAAUCUAAGUUUAAUCUUGAUUAUGAUGUUAGAUUGGGUAUUAUAUUCCAUGACUUAUCUCAAGCUUCAUGAAAACUAGUUAAUUGUAACGUCCCAAAGUUUUCUUAGCUAAGUCUUGUCCCUAAAGUAGCAGACUUUAGCUUCUAGAAUUAAUUAUAUUCUUUUCCCAAUGAAAUUCCUUAGAUUUGAACUUUUCAUUAUGUAGAUGACUGAAUAGGCUUUCCGUCGAUAUAAGAUUCGUCCAAAACGAACACUCGGUGAAGAAGUUAUGGCUAUUUUGUGUUGGUCGUAAAACAUCAUCAUUCUAGUGUUUAGCGCAUCGCGAAGAGGGUUUAAUUAGCAAUUGUCAAAUUUUAGUAGGACCUCGCGAUAGUGGUGCAUAGUGGAGGAUUCCAAUUUCGCAUUCCUCAAUUUCCAGUGAGCCACCGCGAUACUGGUGCGUCGCGGUGGCCCAUAAAAUCGGGUGUCACACCCCUUUUUUUACUCCAAAAGAUUCGUUUUAAGUUCGAAAGAAUUUUUAUUAUUAAGUGACAAAAUGAAGAUUUGUUUCGAAAAAGGAUUCACUAUAUUCAAAACUCAGAGUCGCCACUUGGCAUAAAUCGAGUGUGCCAAGUCACCCGUGGAUAUCCUUUUUCAAAACGUUUUGACUCUGUAACACUAAUCCGCAAACAGAGAUUCCGGCUAAGGAAUUCUAUUGACCAAGGGGAAGGUGUUAGGCACCCCUCAGUCCCGUUGUUCGACCAUGGUCGCUUGGUAGAGCAUAUCGGCUAAUCUGGCUUUACAAAUAUAUAAACCACACAAAAGCACGUAAAACAAUCAAACCAACAAACAAAACAGAACGAAUCAAAAAUAGUUUCCAGUCCGAGUUAUACAGUCCCAAAAAUAGAAAAAAUACGAAAAUGUAAAUCCUAUUCUAAACUAAACCUAGACUAAGCUUCAAUGCCUCACCUGAUGCCUCGGGCCUUCAUCGCGAUCGUUCUCCAAGUACAAGAUACUUCGGGGCAUUCCCCGAAUAAAUCAAUACAAAUCUCUCGGGGUAUUCCCCGGCUAAAUGAAUACACUUUCAAUGAGAAAAGACCACAAUCAUUCGACAAUAUUUCAAACAUUCCACAGGAUUUCCAACAUUCAAUCAAAGCUAUCGAUUCUAAAUAUUUGCCUACCCGACUUAUUUGCCUAAACCAAUCGAUGUAUCAUGUUACUACCAAAUUCAAAUUAACGUUCCUUUCAAGUUAUACGAACAAUGAAAUCAAACUAACCAAAAUCGCCAAUUAUAUCAAGUUUCCAAUUUUCACCCACAAACCCAUUUUUAACCACAACAAUUAACACAUGCUUCGAUUAUUAAAUCACAUCUCAAAAUCCGCAACCAACAUUCUUCACAAACAAACAACGAAGAUUCGAACUAAGCACACAACACAUAAAUCAUUCAUACCCACGACAUUAAUAAAAAAAAAUUAAGAUAAAAGUAAAGAUCGGGGAGAAGAAAUGGACCUCAAAGCUUUCGAUUGGUUUUAAUAAGAGAGAUAAGAGCUGAUCCAAGAAGCCCGAAGAAUACCAACAGAACCUCAAAUUUGACUCUCUCAAUCAGUUAAGAACCAGCUCAGCAAUGCGAUAAUUGACCUCCGUUCCGACCAAGAUAUAUCUUCAAACGAAAUCAACGAACAAACAAAACUGAACACUGGAGUAUGACCAAAAUGACCCAGAUCCGCAGAGAAUAAAUGAUUACCAGAGCCAGAUUUAUAGAAAGAAAAUAAAACUAAUGGAAGCCCACGAGAUCGGAGCUCCGGCAAAAACUAAUGACUGGAAGAAAAUGACAAAGAUGGGAUCAGUUUUUGGCUAUAUCUUAUCCAGAAAUCAGAGGAAAAUAACGAGAUUUGGCGAGUUUGGGAUUGAUCCAACGAACGACGAAUGGAGGAGAUGAUUCCGGUGAAGCUACUGCCGGAACAGUAACCCAAAACCCUUCGUUCUCUCUCUAUCCGUCUCUCUGUUUCUCCCUAUGUGGGGAAGAGCCAAAAAAAAGAAGGAAAAAAAAAGAAUGGAGUCCUUCGCUGGGUGUGUCUAUGGAUGGAGAAGAUGCUCUGUGGUCUCUUCUUUUAUCUGAGAAUCUCUCCCCUCCUUAUUACUGUGAUGUGUAUAUAUGUGGGAUCUUUGGGGUGAGUAUGUGAGGGUCUUUGUAUCUGUGGAUAAUUGUGUGUGCGUGAAGAAGAGACCAAAAGAAAAAAAAGGGAAUCGUUUCUAGUGAGCUCUAUCCAAUCCCCUUAAAACAAAAUGGUUCCUUGUGGGUUUUCCUGCAAGUUUCCUA